GGAGUUUGGGCCGUGUCUCAGUCCCAAUGUGGCCGGUCACCCUCUCAGGUCGGCUACUGAUCGUCGCCUUGGUAGGCCGUUACCCUGCCAACUAGCUAAUCAGACGCGGGUCCAUCCUAUACCACCGGAGUUUUUCACACCAGACCAUGCGGUCCUGUGCGCUUAUGCGGUAUUAGCAGUCGUUUCCAACUGUUAUCCCCCUGUAUAGGGCAGGUUACCCACGCGUUACUCACCCGUCCGCCACUCAGUCAUAAAAGCUUCCAUCCGAAAACUUCCGCUUAAAUGCUUCGUUCGACUUGCAUGUGUUAAGCACGCCGCCAGCGUUCAUC
This 329-nucleotide ribosomal RNA is filed under the name uncultured Lachnospiraceae bacterium. RNAcentral's name for it is "partial 16S ribosomal RNA". Lineage: Bacteria; Bacillati; Bacillota; Clostridia; Lachnospirales; Lachnospiraceae. The record is from RNAcentral.